AUGAACGCUGGCGGCGUGCUUAACACAUGCAAGUCGAACGGGACUCUUCGGAGUCCAGUGGCGGACGGGUGAGUAACGCGUGAGAAUCUGCCUUCCGGAUGGGGACAACCGCUGGAAACGGCGGCUAAUCCCCAAUGUGCCGAGAGGUAAAACGGGUGAAACCGCCGGAAGAGGAGCUCGCGUCCGAUUAGCUAGUUGGUGGGGUAACAGCUCACCAAGGCCACGAUCGGUAGCCGGUCUGAGAGGACGAUCGGCCACACUGGGACUGAGACACGGCCCAGACUCCUACGGGAGGCAGCAGUGGGGAAUUUUCCGCAAUGGGCGAAAGCCUGACGGAGCAACGCCGCGUGGGGGAGGAAGGCUCUUGGGUUGUAAACCCCUUUUCUCAGGGAAGAAGCUCUGACGGUACCUGAGGAAUCAGCCUCGGCUAACUCCGUGCCAGCAGCCGCGGUAAUACGGGGGAGGCAAGCGUUAUCCGGAAUUAUUGGGCGUAAAGCGUCCGCAGGUGGCUAUUUAAGUCUGCUGUCAAAGACCGGGGCUCAACUCCGGGUCGGCAGUGGAAACUGGAUAGCUAGAGUACGGUAGGGGUAGAGGGAAUUCCCGGUGUAGCGGUGAAAUGCGUGGAGAUCGGGAAGAACACCGGUGGCGAAGGCGCUCUACUGGACCGUGACUGACACUCAGGGACGAAAGCUAGGGGAGCGAAAGGGAUUAGAUACCCCUGUAGUCCUAGCUGUAAACGAUGGACACUAGGUGUUGUCUGUAUCGACCCGGACAGUGCCGAAGCUAACGCGUUAAGUGUCCCGCCUGGGGAGUACGCACGCAAGUGUGAAACUCAAAGGAAUUGACGGGGGCCCGCACAAGCGGUGGAGUAUGUGGUUUAAUUCGAUGCAACGCGAAGAACCUUACCAGGGCUUGACAUGUCGCGAACCUCGGGGAAACUCGAGGGUGCCUACGGGAACGCGAACACAGGUGGUGCAUGGCUGUCGCCAGCUCGUGUCGUGAGAUGUUGGGUUAAGUCCCGCAACGAGCGCAACCCUCGUCCUUAGUUGCCAGCAUUCAGUUGAGCACUUUAGGGAGACUGCCGGUGAUAAACCGGAGGAAGGUGGGGAUGACGUCAAGUCAGCAUGCCCCUUACGUCCUGGGCGACACACGUACUACAAUGGUCGGGACAACGGGCAGCCAACUCGCGAGAGUGAGCUAAUCCCCUAAACCCGGCCUCAGUUCAGAUUGCAGGCUGCAACUCGCCUGCAUGAAGGAGGAAUCGCUAGUAAUCGCCGGUCAGCAUACGGCGGUGAAUCCGUUCCCGGGCCUUGUACACACCGCCCGUCACACCAUGGAAGCUGGCCACGCCCGAAGUCGUUACCCCAACCCGUAUGGGAGGGGACGCCGAAGGCAGGGCUGCGACUGGGGUGAAGUCGUA
RNAcentral lists this ribosomal RNA (1420 nucleotides) under uncultured organism. RNAcentral describes it as "bacterial SSU rRNA". It matches the Rfam family "Bacterial small subunit ribosomal RNA". The record is from RNAcentral.